ACCCGCUGAACUUAAGCAUAUCAAUAAGCGGAGGAAAAGAAGACCAACAGGGAUUGCCUUCAGUAACGGCGAAGUGAAGCGGCAACAGCUCAAAUUUGAAAUCUGCGCUCCUUAGGGGUCCGAGUUGUAAUUUGUAGAGGAUGCUUUGGGCGCGGUGCCUUCCGAGUUCCCUGGAACGGGACGCCUUAGAGGGUGAGAGCCCCGUACGGUUGGACACCAAGCCCGUGUAAAGCUCCUUCGACGAGUCGAGUAGUUUGGGAAUGCUGCUCUAAAUGGGAGGUAAAUUUCUUCUAAAGCUAAAUACCGGCCAGAGACCGAUAGCGCACAAGUAGAGUGAUCGAAAGAUGAAAAGUACUUUGAAAAGAGGGUUAAAUAGCACGUGAAAUUGUUGAAAGGGAAGCGUUUGUGACCAGACCUUCGCCGGGCGGAUCAUCGGGCGUUCUUCGCCCGUGCACUCCGCCCGCGCCUAGGCCAGCAUCGGUUCUCGCCGGGGGAGAAAGGCCGGGGAACGUAGCUCUCUCCGGGGAGUGUUAUAGCCCCGGGCGCAAUGCCCUGGCGGGGACCGAGGUUCGCGCGUUUACGCAAGGAUGCUGGCGUAAUGGUCAUCAACGACCCGUCUUGAAACACGGACC
Molecule: ribosomal RNA, 632 nt
Filed under: Eutypella sp. HUEFS 192067
Lineage: Eukaryota; Fungi; Ascomycota; Sordariomycetes; Xylariales; Diatrypaceae
Description: eukaryotic LSU rRNA
Rfam family: Eukaryotic large subunit ribosomal RNA
Source: RNAcentral